Molecule: ribosomal RNA, 314 nt
Filed under: uncultured bacterium
Lineage: Bacteria
Description: partial 16S ribosomal RNA
Rfam family: Bacterial small subunit ribosomal RNA
Source: RNAcentral
GUAUAAGAGACAGCAGUCGCCGCGGUAAUACAGAGGGUGCGAGCGUUAAUCGGAUUUACUGGGCGUAAAGCGUGCGUAGGCGGCUUCUUAAGUCGGAUGUGAAAUCCCUGAGCUUAACUUAGGAAUUGCAUUCGAUACUGGGAAGCUAGAGUAUGGGAGAGGAUGGUAGAAUUCCAGGUGUAGCGGUGAAAUGCGUAGAGAUCUGGAGGAAUACCGAUGGCGAAGGCAGCCAUCUGGCCUAAUACUGACGCUGAGGUACGAAAGCAUGGGGAGCAAACAGGAUUAGAGACCCGAGUAGUCCCUGUCUCUUAUAC